RNAcentral lists this ribosomal RNA (292 nucleotides) under uncultured bacterium. RNAcentral describes it as "partial 16S ribosomal RNA". It matches the Rfam family "Bacterial small subunit ribosomal RNA", at positions 505 to 796 of the family's 1533-position model. The record is from RNAcentral.
GUGUCAGCAGCCGCGGUAAGACGUAGGAUGCAAGCGUUGUCCGGAUUUAUUGGGCGUAAAGAGUUCGUAGGCGGUUCGUUAAGUCUGAUGUUAAAGAUCGGGGCUCAACCUCGGGAGUGCAUUGGAUACUGGCGGACUGGAGUGCAGUAGAGGCGAGUGGAAUUCCCAGUGUAGCGGUGAAAUGCGUAGAUAUUGGGAAGAACACCGGUGGCGCAAGCGACUCGCUGGGCUGUUACUGACGCUGAGGAACGAAAGCUAGGGUAGCGAAUGGGAUUAGAUACCCCAGUAGUCC